GCUAUCUACAGGCUUAACACAUGCAAGUCGAGGGGCAUCAGGAAGAAAGCUUGCUUUCUUUGCUGGCGACCGGCGCACGGGUGAGUAACACGUAUCCAACCUGCCCUUUACUCGGGGAUAGCCUUUCGAAAGAAAGAUUAAUACCCGAUAGCAUAAUGAUUCCGCAUGGUUUCAUUAUUAAAGGAUUCCGGUAAAGGAUGGGGAUGCGUUCCAUUAGGUUGUUGGUGAGGUAACGGCCCACCAAGCCUUCGAUGGAUAGGGGUUCUGAGAGGAAGGUCCCCCACAUUGGAACUGAGACACGGUCCAAACUCCUACGGGAGGCAGCAGUGAGGAAUAUUGGUCAAUGGGCGCUAGCCUGAACCAGCCAAGUAGCGUGAAGGAUGAAGGCUCUAUGGGUCGUAAACUUCUUUUAUAUAAGAAUAAAGUGCAGUAUGUAUACUGUUUUGUAUGUAUUAUAUGAAUAAGGAUCGGCUAACUCCGUGCCAGCAGCCGCGGUAAUACGGAGGAUCCGAGCGUUAUCCGGAUUUAUUGGGUUUAAAGGGAGCGUAGGUGGACUGGUAAGUCAGUUGUGAAAGUUUGCGGCUCAACCGUAAAAUUGCAGUUGAUACUGUCAGUCUUGAGUACAGUAGAGGUGGGCGGAAUUCGUGGUGUAGCGGUGAAAUGCUUAGAUAUCACGAAGAACUCCGAUUGCGAAGGCAGCUCACUGGACUGCAACUGACACUGAUGCUCGAAAGUGUGGGUAUCAAACAGGAUUAGAUACCCUGGUAGUCCACACAGUAAACGAUGAAUACUCGCUGUUUGCGAUAUACAGUAAGCGGCCAAGCGAAAGCAUUAAGUAUUCCACCUGGGGAGUACGCCGGCAACGGUGAAACUCAAAGGAAUUGACGGGGGCCCGCACAAGCGGAGGAACAUGUGGUUUAAUUCGAUGAUACGCGAGGAACCUUACCCGGGCUUAAAUUGCAGUGGAAUGAUGUGGAAACAUGUCAGUGAGCAAUCACCGCUGUGAAGGUGCUGCAUGGUUGUCGUCAGCUCGUGCCGUGAGGUGUCGGCUUAAGUGCCAUAACGAGCGCAACCCUUAUCUUUAGUUACUAACAGGUUAUGCUGAGGACUCUAGAGAGACUGCCGUCGUAAGAUGUGAGGAAGGUGGGGAUGACGUCAAAUCAGCACGGCCCUUACGUCCGGGGCUACACACGUGUUACAAUGGGGGGUACAGAAGGCAGCUAGCGGGUGACCGUAUGCUAAUCCCAAAAUCCCCUCUCAGUUCGGAUCGAAGUCUGCAACCCGACUUCGUGAAGCUGGAUUCGCUAGUAAUCGCGCAUCAGCCACGGCGCGGUGAAUACGUUCCCGGGCCUUGUACACACCGCCCGUCAAGCCAUGGGAGCCGGGGGUACCUGAAGUACGUAACCGCAAGGAUCGUCCUAGGGUAAAACUGGUGACUGG
Molecule: ribosomal RNA, 1440 nt
Filed under: uncultured organism
Description: SSU rRNA
Rfam family: Bacterial small subunit ribosomal RNA
Source: RNAcentral